Molecule: ribosomal RNA, 490 nt
Filed under: uncultured bacterium
Lineage: Bacteria
Description: partial 16S ribosomal RNA
Rfam family: Bacterial small subunit ribosomal RNA
Source: RNAcentral
AUUGAACGCUGGCGGCAGGCCUAACACAUGCAAGUCGAACGGUAACAGGGAUCAGCUUGCUGAUUCGCUGACGAGUGGCGGACGGGUGAGGAAUGUCUGGGAAACUGCCUGAUGGAGGGGGAGAACUACUGGAAACGGUAGCUAAUACCGCAUAACGUCGCAAGACCAAAGAGGGGGACCUUCGGGCCUCUUGCCAUCGGAUGUGCCCAGAUGGGAUUAGCUAGUAGGUGGGGUAACGGCUCACCUAGGCGACGAGCCCUAGCUGGUCUGAGAGGAUGACCAGCCACACUGGAACUGAGACACGGUCCAGACUCCUACGGGAGGCAGCAGUGGGGAAUAUUGCACAAUGGGCGCAAGCCUGAUGCAGCCAUGCCGCGUGUAUGAAGAAGGCCUUCGGGUUGUAAAGUACUUUCAGCGGGGAGGAAGGGAGUAAAGUUAAUACCUUUGCUCAUUGACGUUACCCGCAGAAGAAGCACCGGCUAACUCCGUG